AGUGAAUAGAUACCCUGGUAGUCCACGCCCUAAACGAUGUCUACUAGUUGUCGGGGAUUCAUUUCCUUGGUAAACGCAGCUAAACGCGUGAAGUAGACCGCCUGGGGAGUACGGCCGCAAGGUUAAAACUCAAAGGAAUUGACGGGGACCCGCACAAGCGGUGGAUGAUGUGGAUUAAUUCGAUGCAACGCGAAAAACCUUACCUACGCUUGACAUGCCAGGAACUUUCCAGAGAUGGAUUGGUGCCCGAAGGGAACCUGGACACAGGUGCUGCAUGGCUGUCGUCAGCUCGUGUCGUGAGAUGUUGGGUUAAGUCCCGCAACGAGCGCAACCCUUAUCCUUAGUUGCUACGCAAGGGCACUCUAGGGAGACUGCCGGUGACAAACCGGAGGAAGGUGGGGAUGACGUCAAGUCCUCAUGGCCCUUAUGUGUAGGGCUUCACACGUCAUACAAU
RNAcentral lists this ribosomal RNA (454 nucleotides) under uncultured bacterium. Its description in RNAcentral is "bacterial SSU rRNA". It matches the Rfam family "Bacterial small subunit ribosomal RNA", at positions 774 to 1231 of the family's 1533-position model. The record is from RNAcentral.